This 388-nucleotide ribosomal RNA is filed under the name uncultured eukaryote. RNAcentral's name for it is "partial 18S ribosomal RNA". It matches the Rfam family "Eukaryotic small subunit ribosomal RNA", at positions 592 to 976 of the family's 1831-position model. The record is from RNAcentral.
CAAUAGCGUAUAUUAAAGUUGUUGCAGUUAAAAAGCUCGUAGUUGGACUUCUGAUCGAGACAUCAGGUCGGGUCCGAGAGGAUCAUGUACUUUGAUUUUGUUUUGAUCAUCCUUGGGGAGAGCAUUUCUGGCAUUCAGUUGUCGGGAUUGGGAUCCUCAUCGUUUACUGUGAAAAAAUUAGAGUGUUCAAAGCAGGCCUCGGCCUCUGAAUACAUUAGCAUGGAAUAAUAAGAUAGGACUUUGGUGGUCUAUUUUGUUGGUUUGCACGCCAAAGUAAUGAUUAAUAGGGAUAGUUGGGGGUAUUCGUAUUCAAUUGUCAGAGGUGAAAUUCUUGGAUUUAUGGAAGACGAACUACUGCGAAAGCAUUUACCAAGGAUGUUUUCAUUAA